Molecule: ribosomal RNA, 466 nt
Filed under: Austrocypraea reevei
Lineage: Eukaryota; Metazoa; Mollusca; Gastropoda; Littorinimorpha; Cypraeidae
Description: partial 16S large subunit ribosomal RNA
Rfam family: Bacterial large subunit ribosomal RNA
Source: RNAcentral
GAGUCGGACCUGCCCAGUGAAUAAAUUUUAACGGCCGCGGUACUCUGACCGUGCAAAGGUAGCAUAAUCAUUUGCCCUAUAAUUGAGGGCUGGUAUGAAUGGUUUGACGUGAACAGAACUGUCUCUAUAUAAUUUUUUAAAAUUUGAUUUUUAGGUGAAGAAACCUAAAUUGUAUUGAAAGACAAGAAGACCCUAUUGAGCUUUAAAUAAAUAAGUUGAAAAUAAUAAUAUAGAUUUAAAUAUUAAUCUACUUAAAACUUUGGUUGGGGCGACUAUGGAACAGAUAAAGCUUCUUUAUAAUUAAGGUGAAUUGUCAGAUUUUGAUCCAAGAAUUUUGAUUAAUGAAAUUAGUUACCAUAGGGAUAACAGCAUAAUUCUCUUUGAGAGCCCUUAUCGAAAAGAGAGUUUGUGACCUCGAUGUUGGAUUAGAAUAUCCUGAAGAUGUAGCAGUCUUUAAGGGUUGGUC